This 195-nucleotide unclassified non-coding RNA is filed under the name plant metagenome. Its description in RNAcentral is "partial contains small subunit ribosomal RNA, internal transcribed spacer 1, and 5.8S ribosomal RNA". The record is from RNAcentral.
UCUCCGUUGGUGAACCAGCGGAGGGAUCAUUACCGAGUUUACAACUCCCAAACCCCUGUGAACAUACCAUUUGUUGCCUCGGCGGUGCCUGCUUCGGCAGCCCGCCAGAGGACCCAAACCCUUGACUUUAUACAGUAUCUUCUGAGUAAAUGAUUAAAUAAAUCAAAACUUUCAACAACGGAUCUCUUGGUUCUG